This 760-nucleotide long non-coding RNA is filed under the name Brassica napus (rape). RNAcentral's name for it is "long non-coding RNA (BNAP_LNC014457)". The record is from RNAcentral. Lineage: Eukaryota; Viridiplantae; Streptophyta; Magnoliopsida; Brassicales; Brassicaceae.
UGCCGAGAUGCACCUAGCAAUUAAAACGAAAAUAAGAAAACUAACGAAGGAGUCGAAACUAUCAGAGGAAGCCAAAAGAACUCUAGGACAUGCUACCUCCCAAGCUUUAAGGACAUCGAACAACAACCUUAAUCACAACCAAAGCUAACGAACAGACGUACCUACGUACACGAACAAACGAACAACCGACCCUAUCUUCAGGGAAAUAAUCGAACUACGUUAUGACUUGAUCCCUCGAAGAGGGUACGUAGGCAACUCACGACACGAAUUCAGUCUCCUCCCACCAACAGAACUCAAAGUAGACACACCGCAACACCCGAGGAACAGCAGCUCGAUAAUACCAAAAAUUGUUUUCCUUCACUAAUUUGUAACGAAACAGCAUCCAAUAUCUUAACAAAUACAAUCCCUGGACGUUUGAGCACAACAGAUUUCUCGUACCAGGAAAUCGCAUAAAAUUCGCAGUUGACCAAAAACCAGGACCCUGAUCAAGUCCUCGGUCGCGGCCAACUCCGCCAACAAGCGUGACAAAACUAAUAAACAAAAUCUAUUGUUACAUCGAAACUGUCGAUAAGAGUAUUUACAAAACUCGACACAUGCCUCCAAAAGGUCAGCCUCGCACGAAACAUAAAGUGGCUACACACAAAUCGGGACUCACGAUCCUUUCUUUAUUAAAAUAAAAGAAAUAUUAAUAAAGUAACAAAAGCAAGAAAAAAAACAAAAGAAAAACUUCCAAAAAUCUAUUCUUCGAUGUCAAAUUCAC